This 96-nucleotide ribosomal RNA is filed under the name Propithecus coquereli (Coquerel's sifaka). The record is from RNAcentral. Lineage: Eukaryota; Metazoa; Chordata; Mammalia; Primates; Indriidae.
GUCUACGGACAUACCAUCCUGAACAUGCCUGAUCGCGGAAGCUAAGCAGGGUCAGGCCUGGUUAGUACUUAGAUCAGAGAAUGCCAGGACUUCACC